CCUACGGGAGGCAGCAGUAAGGAAUAUUGGUCAAUGGACGCAAGUCUGAACCAGCCAUGCCGCGUGAAGGAUUAAGGUCCUCUGGAUUGUAAACUUCUUUUAUCUGGGACGAAAAAAGGCGAUUCUUCGUCACUUGACGGUACCAGAUGAAUAAGCACCGGCUAACUCCGUGCCAGCAGCCGCGGUAAUACGGAGGGUGCAAGCGUUAUCCGGAUUCACUGGGUUUAAAGGGUGCGUAGGCGGGCAGGUAAGUCAGUGGUGAAAUCCUAGAGCUUAACUCUAGAACUGCCAUUGAUACUAUCUGUCUUGAAUAUUGUGGAGGUAAGCGGAAUAUGUCAUGUAGCGGUGAAAUGCUUAGAUAUGACAUAGAACACCUAUUGCGAAGGCAGCUUACUACGCAUAUAUUGACGCUGAGGCACAAAAGCGUGGGGAUCAAACAGGAUUAGAUACCCUGGUAGUCCACGCCCUAAACGAUGAUUACUCGACAUUUGUGAUACACUAUAAGUGUNUGAGAGAAGACAUAAGUAAUACCACCGUACGGAGUACGACCGACGAGUUAGUAACGUACGAAUAGAAGUUAGUACGGACGUUGAGACGUUCGACCGACGGACGACGACGAGGGAGGUAGG
Molecule: ribosomal RNA, 629 nt
Filed under: uncultured bacterium
Lineage: Bacteria
Description: bacterial SSU rRNA
Rfam family: Bacterial small subunit ribosomal RNA (bases 1-535)
Source: RNAcentral